Molecule: ribosomal RNA, 371 nt
Filed under: uncultured bacterium
Lineage: Bacteria
Description: bacterial SSU rRNA
Rfam family: Bacterial small subunit ribosomal RNA
Source: RNAcentral
GGAGGGUGCGAGCGUUGUUCGGAAUUACUGGGCGUAAAGCGCGUGUAGGCGGCCUUGCAAGUCAGGCGUGAAAGCCCUCGGCUUAACCGGGGAAGUGCGUCUGAAACUGCUUGGCUUGAGUGCGGCAGAGGGAGGUGGAAUUCCACGUGUAGCAGUGAAAUGCGUAGAUAUGUGGAGGAACACCGAUGGCGAAGGCAGCCUCCUGGGCCAGCACUGACGCUCAUGCACGAAAGCGUGGGGAGCAAACAGGAUUAGAUACCCUGGUAGUCCACGCCCUAAACGAUGUCAACUAGGUGUUGGGGGAGGAGACUUCCUUAGUACCGCAGCUAACGCGUGAAGUUGACCGCCUGGGGAGUACGGCCGCAAGGUUG